This 253-nucleotide ribosomal RNA is filed under the name uncultured bacterium. RNAcentral's name for it is "partial 16S ribosomal RNA". It matches the Rfam family "Bacterial small subunit ribosomal RNA", at positions 524 to 776 of the family's 1533-position model. The record is from RNAcentral.
UACGGAGGGUGCAAGCGUUAUUCGGAAUUACUGGGCGUAAAGCGUGCGUAGGCGGUUACAUAAGUCGGGCGUGAAAGCCCCGGGCUCAACCUGGGAAUUGCAUUCGAGACUGCGUAGCUAGGGUGCGGAAGAGGGAAGCGGAAUUUCCGGUGUAGCGGUGAAAUGCGUAGAUAUCGGGAGGAACACCAGUGGCGAAAGCGGCUUCCUGGUCCAGCACCGACGUUCAGGCACGAAAGCGUGGGGAGCAAACAGG